This 75-nucleotide transfer RNA is filed under the name Clostridiales bacterium. Its description in RNAcentral is "tRNA-Glu". It matches the Rfam family "tRNA". From Rfam's summary of the family: Transfer RNA (tRNA) molecules are approximately 80 nucleotides in length. Their secondary structure includes four short double-helical elements and three loops (D, anti-codon, and T loops). Further hydrogen bonds mediate the characteristic L-shaped molecular structure. tRNAs have two regions of fundamental functional importance: the anti-codon, which is responsible for specific mRNA codon recognition, and the 3' end, to which the tRNAs corresponding amino acid is attached (by aminoacyl-tRNA synthetases). tRNAs cope with the degeneracy of the genetic code in two manners: having more than one tRNA (with a specific anti-codon) for a particular amino acid; and 'wobble' base-pairing, i.e. permitting non-standard base-pairing at the 3rd anti-codon position. The record is from RNAcentral. Lineage: Bacteria; Bacillati; Bacillota; Clostridia; Eubacteriales. RNAcentral also lists the same sequence under 2 other names.
GGCUCCUUGGUCAAGUGGUUAAGACUCCGGCCUCUCACGCCGGCUACAGGGGUUCAAAUCCCCUAGGAGUCACCA